AAACACUCAUCAAAGGAAUUAAAAAAACCAACAAAAAACGACAAAUAGCACAACCAUACAUUGAUAUGAUAUUAUUUUUUGUGUGUACGCCAUAUGCACAUUUAAGCACAUUGAAAAUCAUGUGGGACUUUCCUUGAGCAAACAUUGAGAAGCAAGCUUAGUGAAAUUGGAAGGUUGAGAUUAAUGCCCAAAAUGUUAGCUUUAAGGGCAGUGCAAAGGCAUGCUGCAGCCUCGAGAUCAACAAGGCCAUUUAGGAGUGAGCAACAAGGGGUUACUGGUGGUUUACCCAAAGUUAAAUUCAACAACCCACUUAGGACAUUGGCACAUACACCAAGUUUGAGAGCAUCACGUGGGCAUGUGCCACUUGAAGGGGUUGGGUUAGGGUUAGGGUUUGGGUUUGGCCUUGGCUUUGGUUUUGGGGUUGGGUUUGGAGUAGGGUUGCAUGAAUAGGAACCACAAGCUGAAACAAGUGAAAAAAAGAGGAGGUUGAUUGUGAGGAAAAUAGCAAGGGAGGAACAAGUUUUGGAAGCCAUCUUAAUUAAAUUAUUCUUGUACUAGCUAAGUUGCUAUUAGAGCUUAAUUAAGAGAAGAAGAGUGGUUGUGAAUAUGAUUUAGAGGUAAUGGGGGUUUAUAUAGUGUUUUGGAACGCCAAGUGGGGUGAGUUGAGUAGGAACUAACCCUAAGCAAUAAUAGCCGUAUUAAAAAAAUUAAAUGUGGUUGAGAUAAGUUAAGCUUAUGAUGUAGUCAUGUUAGAAGGAAAAAAACAAUGAGCUUUAGCUGGCAGUGUAUAUAGUAUAGUAUAUACCCUUAGAAUAGGUUUUGGAUACUUGUGUGUUGAUGUGCAACUUACAUUAAAGUGUCUAUUAUAAAUGUUUUGAACUAUAUUCACUUUUCAUACACACAUACAAUCUAAAUUAAGGAUUAACAGAUUAUUUUAUUGAGAGAGAUAAAUACAGAUUAUGGUUUCCCACAGAAAGGAUACAUAUUGAAUGUAGAGGGUAAAUCUUUAAAUUACGAUUGUGAGAAAUAUCCACAUUUAUAAUUCAGAUAUGUAUAUGUAUCACAUGACAUGAGUUGAUAGUUUUGAAUUUUAAUAUGUAUCAUUUGGAAGGCACCAAGUGCAGUGAAAAUGGAAAAUUGAGGAUGAAAACUCGUUUUCUAAAAGAUCUUUCUCAGUUUGAUGAAUGUGAAAACUGAAAACACGGAAAGAAAAAUAGAUAUUGGAGGCUUGGAGCCCACAUAAAAUGAACAUUUUAGUAUGUAAAAAUAUACCUUUAAUAAAUAAAUACUUAUUUCUGUACCAAUAAGAAAUUUAAAUACUUCUUUAUAAUAACAUGAAAACACGACCAUUUCACAAAAUCCUCAGUUAGUCUAUGUUUAUGACUAUGCAUAUUGGUGAUAUUAUUAUAGUUUUAGUACUAUCUAGUUGGUUCUCGUUGUCGUUGCUAUAUAACCUUUGUUGUUUGUUUGUUCUCGCCAAUUCGUUGUCGUUUGCGUCACAAAAUCUUAAGGGUUGAAAAAAAAUUAAAAACCAGAUAAGCCUACUUAACUAGAGUCUAUCAAAUUUUGAUUGUAAAUUUCUAAUGAUAUUUUGACAAGGUUUACACUUUUACUUACCUUAUGGUCUAGCUCCGAAUUACUGUAGCACCAUUUUAUUUUAAAAAUUGUAAGAUUAAGAAGAAGAAGAAGAAAAACUAAUAUUUAAAUGUGUAUAGUGUGUAUGUUCUACUUUUUUGAGCUAAUCGUAUUUUUAGUCCCAUGAAAUGUUCCUAUUGUGCGCACCCGUUUUUAUUUUUCAAUUGUGGCCCCAUCUUUUAUCCUUAUGCGAUAAAAUAGGUCUCAUUAAUAGUUUCUAUAUUCUCUUCUGUUUUUUUUUUAAACAAAGUUAACUAUUAUCAUUAAUCAACCAAUGUCAAUACAAGAAAGAUAAGAAUAAAAAAUAUAGUGACUAGCCCAAGAACAGGCCGCCCUAUCUAAACUAUGAGGAACCAUGUUCGCUUGUCUCCUAACAAACUUCAUCUCGAAAUUGGAAUGUAAAGAUAACUGAUAAAUAAUACUAGAAACAAUAGCAUAGGAUUCCGAAUCACCAUGGCCCGGAGACGAUAGCGUUUGCACUAGAGUAGAUGAAUCGAACUCGAAGACAACCCGGUCCCAUCUGUUUGCAUCCGCAAAAUGAAGGGUCUCGAGUAAGGCUACUGCAUCCCCCUCCAAAACUGUCAUAUUUGCCAGCUGUCAUUUUGUUUGAGCCCGAAUAAAUUGUCUGCGAGAGUCUCUAACACAACACGCAAAAGUUGUAAUAUGGUUACGUUCAAGGAACGUGGCAUCCACAUUGCACUUCAACCACGUCUCGCUCGAUUUCUCCCAAAUAUUGUGUUUAUUCGGUUUUAGAUUAGUUUCUCACUUUUGUCCCCGAAUCUUGUGAUUUUACAUAAUUUAAAAGCAGCUAAAAAAACAAAAUUGCUAAAUCACAAUAUUUUGAAGACUAAAAUGAAGUGUGCAAAAAUGGAAGUAAAAUUAAGGGGAGAACAUUAGAGACUAAUAUGUUUAAAAAUAUGGAAGCAGAAUUGCACAAAUAUGUAAUACUUGAGAGAUGAGAGAUUAAAAAUUAAAUAACGUUUUUUUAGAGUUUGGUUUGAGAGUUGGUGUGUAUCCAUAUAAUAAGUUUUAUUUUGGUGUGAAAUUAGUUUGUUCUUUGGUAUGCUUUGUUUUAGUUUGGUUAAUUUUGUUAAUUCAUUUAAAUAUGGAUAAACUCCAACUCUCAAAGACUCAAAUCAAACACACGUAAUAAAAUUUUGUUCAUCAUUAAUGUAACUUAACCUUGAAGUUUUUAAAUUUGUUUUAACACACUGCCAUAACAAUAGUUUAAUGGAUUUAAUAACGAUGUCAUAUUUUUUUUAAGUAACAACAAUAUCAUGAAAACUUUUAUAUAUAAAAAAAAAAAAAAAAAAAAAAACAAUAUCAUCAUCACAACUCAUUUUAUUGAUUUUUUUUUUUGCAUUUGAAGCUUUUCAAUAGCACAAGCACAAUUUAAACAUAGACCACCAAGUAGUAGAAUAUAUUCCAUAAUACAACUUACUACUCAUUUAAAAUGUUUUGACUAAAUUUAAUAUAUUAGUUUAUAUCUUAAUAAUCAAUGCUAAAAAUGUUUCAUAUUUUUCCCCCCUAAAAAUAAUCAAUACUAUAAUAUUAUUUUUAUUAUGUUAAAAUGAUAUAUAUGUUGGUUAAAAUACGGAUAGUAGAGACUAAUCUUUGGUUAAUAUAUUUUAUAUUAUCUUUUUUUAAAACAAAAAAAAAAUACGGAUAAUAGAUACGAUAUAGAUACGUGCAUAAAUAUUAAAGUUACUCUAAAUGUAGAUAUAAAUCAAACUACAAUUAUUUUUCCAAACCAUGAAUGUAGAGACGGAUUUUUCCAAACCAUGAAUGUAUAGAGACGGAUAUUAUCUAUAUAUUUGAUAUCACGACGAGUAUAUUAAAAUAUGGAUGAUGUACCUUUAUUUAACAAAAAUUUAGUGUAUUGGAUCACAAGUCAUUCUGAUAUAACCACGGGAUAUCAAAUCAAAUCAAAUACAUUAUAACACUUAUGAGAACCUACCCCACUCAUUUUCAUUCAUCUAACCCAUUCACGUUAUAUUCCUUUUAACCCUUUCUAGACAUGUCAAUUAUUAUUGACUUGACAUUUAUCUUAAAAUAGAUCCAUUUUUUCAGAUUAGCAUGUGACCUUGAGUGCUAAUUACUUUUUCCUUACUUUUAAAAGCAAAUAAAAGUUUUCAACGCGUUUUGGUAUCCAUUUUUCUUAUAAUAUGAUUGAUGAUAAUGGUAAUCAUUUUAUGAAGUAUGGACAAAACUCCCUCAAAAAAAAAAAAAAAGCUGAAGUAUGGACAAAUUAGAGUCACGGGCAUCGUUUAACAAAAAUGGGCUCCAUCUGUACUUUUAAUCAGCUCUUAAACAUCUGGCUGAAGAUCUCGAUCUUAAAAUAAUUUGUGUGAACACAAAUCUACAUAAUUAAUUAAUUACGAAAUUAAGACUUGAGUUUGUCUUUGUUUUCUGCCCAAAAAACAAAAGAUUGCCUAUAUUUAGUCAUUUAACCUUCUUUCAAUUUUGGUUAUUAUUAUCGGAAUUAAUCCCUCAAAACAAAUCCUUCAGUAAUACACAUUAAUGGCGGAUUGGUGACAAAAAAACUUCCCUCGGUAAUAUGUUUAUGAUUUCUCGUCUUUGUGCGAUAUGUUUAUGAUUUUCAAUUUUAUUUCGAUGUUUAUUUGAUUCAGGUUAAAAUGUUAGCUUUUAGCAAGUGGAUAUUCAAUCAAUGAUUUUGGCGUCGUCAACGUUGUAGAUCUAGAGACAUGAGUAUUCCGAAGACUUGAAUAUAGUCACAUUUGUAGGCAUAAGUACUCUGUUAGUUAUAUAUUAACAUAGAUGCUGUGAGUUUGUUCGGAGAUUCAUUCUCUUUGUUUUUAACGACUUUGAAUUUGUAGUGUAUUGAUGUACUCUAUCAAUUUGAAUGAAUAAUUAUCGUUUAUUUUUGUAAAAAAAAAAAUCAUUACCCACAUGAAUUUUAAUAUUUUUUUUUGACAAAAUGAAUUUUAAUAUUAGAUAUGAUAAAAUUCAAAUAUUUUUCAUAAACCAGCGAUUAUAAUUGAAAGACAGUGUGAUUGUCAAUGCAUUUUCAUUAAAGUCUUUGUAAAUUAUUCCUUUUUCUAUUUCAAUCCCAUUUUUCAGAAACAUUAACCUAUAGAAAAAAUCGUGACACCCCAUAUAUAGCAAAUAAUAGUUCCUCAAGAGACGUAUUAUUAUCCUCUCAAAAACGAGACAUAAUUUUAUUAUUAUUAUGAUGAUUAUCAUCAUCUAAACAAAACAAAAAAAUUGACAAGCAUAUAUAAACAUGCCAUUGCUUUGUUAAGCAUAGCGUACUCUAAUACUUUAACCUUUUUGCGAUAGACAUUAAUAUUUUUACAAAAUUACUCUUACUUUAGAAGAGAACGAUAGUUAGAAUGAAAAUUUUGUGAUAGAAAAAUUGGAAUAUUUACGCAAAAUUGAAACUUUUUUUUUUACUAAAAUCAACUAACGGAUGAAGUAAUAAAAUUGAAAAGAAAACUCAAGUACAAAGAACUUGAUUCCCUUUGUAAAUCAUUUUAUAAGUGUUAGGAGCCCUAAGAUGUAUAUUAACAUCCAUUCACUUAAAAUUGUCUUCAUAAAAAGGAAUGGUUCUCUAAGAGAGACAUCUCACUUAGUUUAAAGAACAAAUUCAACUUUAUCAUUCAAGCGAUUAAGAGCUGUUGUUGAUUUCUUGUAAAAAAAAAGAGCUAUGGUUUUUUUAGAGGAAAAGGAAAAAAAAAAAAAAAAAAACCAAUUGGUUGAUUUAAUUUCUUGUCAGAAGGAUUACUAGAAGGCCUUCGGCUGUUGCUUGAAGAAUUAGAAGAUGAGUCAUGUUGUUGAGUCACAGAAUAGUUUGUUAGCCCUCAUAUUCUAUUAUGAUUAAUUAAUAAUUACUGUAUUCUGUUAUUGACAAUCUGCUAUAUUUUGUUUCCUUCAACCAAUUGGGCAGCCAAUCAUUUUUUGUUUGUAAUAACAGUUUAAAUUAUCCCAUGAGGUAUGACGAAUGAAGAAAAGCAAGAAAAAUUAUCCCAACUUUUUUUUUUAUUACUAAUAACAAGGGUUUGUCAUAUAACCAUAUCACUAAACAAUUUCAAUUAAUAGAAUGUGCACACUUGCUCAUGCUUAAUAAUAAUAACUUAAAUUAACAUUAAUGAAUAUGAUUUCAUAAAUUCUAAAUGAAAGAGUAUAACAGAUUAUUAUUUAGAUUCUAAGUUCUGACUUAGUCAAACAAAGAAAUAUUUGGUUAAAAGAGCAUUUUAUAUAUGAUAUUGGUUAAGAUUCUCUCAAAAAAAAAAAUGAUAUUGGUUAAGAUAUGUAAAAACACUUUUUUUUGUACAAAUAAAAAAACAGUAAAAACUAUUUUUUAACCAAUAUAAAUUUACAAUCCAACGUUCAAAUUUAUAUUAUGAAAUCUAACCAAAAAAAAUUUAUAUUAUGAAAAAGUUACACGGCUUAAAUCAUUUUAAAAUUUGUGUAUAUAAUUAAGAAAAUGCUAAAAAAACGGCUUCAUGAUAUUGGUUAAAAGUAUAAAAUAAAAUUAUACUCUUUUUAACAAAAGUACAAUUUUUUUUUUUUUAGGCCAAAUAGUAAAUAAAAAAAUAAAACGAGGGGGGGGGGGGGGGGGCAUGAGACAUGACCAAUGAAAACCCAAACGGGAAUACAACUUGAAAAAUCAGUCCAAGUGGAUCAACUCUACGGGCGCAAUCCAGCGAACCCGCGUAUGGGCGCAAAACAAGGUUACAAAAAAAGAAUGAAAAGUGAACCUCCGCACCAGACACUUAGAGUAUAAAAAUGACGAAUGGAUCGACCGCCAACACGGUAACAAAAUCCAAGUGUCAAUAGCUCCCUGAUCAACAACAAGCUAAAAGGCUCUUUCGAGCCAAACAACGCAUAAGAACUCAGAUCGAGGGAUGAGUCCAAUACGUCAGUAACAAGACCCUUUCAGGUUAAACGAACCACCAGACCCUUUCGGGUUUUAGAACACACCAAACCCUUGAGGGUUUACGAAAACACUCAACAGCAAAAAAAUCAAAUCCAAUCCCACCAGUCUAUGAUCAGCAACGAAAUAACAUAAAAAAACACAACACAAAACAAAAAAAAAAACACGAAACAAAAGCAGCUUCCAAACACUCCGGCGUGGUGACAGCGGAGCAACAACCAUGGACACUGCAGAUCUCAACAGAUCUGAAACCAACCAGAGCUCCAAGACCGUCCAAAGGUGAAGAAGAAGAAGCCAAAAACGGUUCAGCAACGACCCACCACCAAGGAAUCCGCAACCACCAACCGGAUAAAGUGAGAAAGCAAGGCAGAACAAUGGUGCCGCUGCCGACCACCUUCACGAACCACAGCCUCCUAGCGCCGCCACCUCGAAACAGAAAAGCAAACAACGACCCAAGCACAAGAUCUGAUGUGAAGAACACCAAAUCGCGGAUCUGACGGUAACAAGGCUAAAGCGUAAAGAAGGAGAGGAAGCGUCGGUGGUGCGGAGCAAGAAACCCAUCGCACCACCAUCUAAGCAGGUUACAUGGUGAAAAGAAGUUUUGGAUUGAGGAGGAAGAUGGCUAAGUCGGUUUGUGUAUUUUGAUGAAAAAUAAUGAAUUUAACUUUUUAAAAGUUGUUGUUUUGAAUACAAAACUAUUAUUUUUUAUUUCCUUAACAAAAAAUUUGUGGUAUGAGUAUGACCCAUAUAAUUUAGAGUAUUACAUAUGAGAUAUGAGAAAUGUUAGCAACAUACAUUUUAACACAUAUUUUUCAACACACUCUCUUUGAUUGAUUAAAAUUUACAUGGGUUCCACCAAAUUUAUAUGUCAUCGCUUAAUUUAGUGGAACUCAUGUGAAUUUUAACCAAUCAAAUAGAGUGUGUUGAACAAUAUGUGUUGCUAGCAUUCCUUGGUACAUAUAUUGUUCAAUUCUCAAAAGCUUAGUUUUUGUAACCAUAUUACUUCCAUGUAAGUGUGGGUGUGUAUGAGAGAGAAAGUUGUCUUGUCGUGAUUUUUAUUUUUUAUGCCUAAACAUGAUUAUUUAUUUAUAUAAAUUUUACUUUUAAUAUUUUUCAAUUCAAACUUAAUUUCACAUAUGAGUAUGUCAUCAACAAUAUUAUAAAUCAAAUAACCGAUCGAUUUUGGUACAAUUAUGAAUUCUAAUAUUGAAAUAAAUUUUAACCUAUCAACUUAGCUUAGCAAUAAACAUCCAAAUAAAAUAUUUUUUAUAAAAAAAUCAUCCAAAUAAUUUUUUUUUAACUGAGUUUUAUGAAAAAUAAACAUUGACAUAUAUUUUAUAUUUUAAAGAACAAGAUACACAUUUUUACUAACAUAAAAUCAGUUUAAAACUAAAAAAAAUUAAAGAGACUAGUCUAAUACAAACUUUAAACUUAAAAAUACUUUUAUUUUACAAUAAAUUGUUCUUAGCAGUAUUGUAGUACUAUACUACUAUUUUUUUAGGGAUAGUACUAUACUACUAUAUUUUUUUUUUAGGGAUAGUACUAUACUACUAUAUGUUGAAUAUAAAAUAUGAGAUAUCAAAGGUAUGAGAAUCAAUUAACAGGUCGUUCCUCGCACAUCAUAUCAUGUACUAUGAAGUUCACGGGAGUGCUAUACUCACAUGCCAAUUGGUUCAUAUCAUAAUCAAUUAAACAAAUAAUAUUUACUAUUGGAAAGUGGGAAUAUUUUAUUCUUUUAUGUGAUUCGUUUUCACUACCAGUUAAAACCCAAGACAGCUUGGUUAGUUCACAUGUUUUUUGUUACCAUCAUAAAAUACAAUUACCUUUUUACACUAUAAAUAACAGCAUCAGUCACUCCUCCUUCACACAAUUACAGUUUUAAUUAGCCAUUUCAAUCUUCAUAUAUUUUAUUACUAAUUAAUUAUGAAUUCUUCUAAAUCUUCAACUCUUGUUCUCUUUUCCAUCAUCAAUAUGCUUUUCUUUGCAAUGGCAAAUGGUUGUUUUUUUUGUCCAAAACCUAACCCUAAUCCAAAUCCAUUCCCUUACCCAAACCCUAGUCCUUCCACUAAGAGUUGUCCAAGAGAUGCACUCAAAUUAGGAGUGUGUGCUAAUUUGCUUAAUGGACCAAUUGGUGCAGUGAUUGGGUCACCACCAGAACAUCCAUGUUGCUCUAUUUUAGAAGGGCUAGUUGAUCUUGAAGUUGCAGUUUGUCUUUGCACUGCCAUCAAAGCUAACAUUCUUGGAAUUGACAUUAAUAUUCCUAUUUCACUAAGUUUGAUCCUUAAUGCUUGUGAGAAGACUCCACCCACCGAUUUCCAGUGCUCUUAAUUAAGUGUUACUCUUGAUUAAUUGUGUUUGUUAAUUGUUUUUUUUUUUUUUUUUUAUAUUAUGAUUGAUGACUGAUGAAGUGUUGUUUGUUACUUGGUAAUUAAGUAGUAACUCAUCAUUUACUGCAAAUGCAGUUGUAUUUUGUAACUGUAAUUUCUAGUUCAAGUCUUGAAUGAAUUUCUAAUUUCUAAUUUUAAUUAUUUGAUGGAAUGUUUCUAUAAUUUUUUUAAAUUCAAAUAAUGACUCACUUAUGUAGAAAUCAAAUUGGCACAAUUCAAGGAAUAAUGGACCUUAAUUAAUCUUGAGACAUCCAGCAUAAUAAAGUGAAAUUAUUUCGAUAUUUGAAACAGAUAGUACUAUAUAUUUUGAUAAAUAGUUUUUUUGGUGCAGUAAUAUGAAUUAUGAGCGGAAACUAAUUUAAGUCCGUGAAUUUAAAAUUCCUCUAUAUUCUUUGUCCUUGACGUCAUUUCUCAGGCCAAAAAUAUUGUGACGUGGUAAAUAGAGAGUUGUAUACCCUUGCUGAAAUAGUUUGCAACACGAGAUGUUGGUACCACGUGAUACUGAAUUUUUGCACAAGCAUAAAUAUAUUUACACAGACCGGUCAAAAAAGAAAAGAAAAGAAAAUAUAGAUUACAAAUACACAAAAUGAAAAGAAAAGUAUUUGGACAUGUUUGAAAUAGUUUUUGUUUUCGGUUUUUGAAAUAUACAAAUCCUUUUCUCACAAUUGUUAUCUUUUACAUGUUUUAGUUUUUUAGUCUCCAAAACUAAAAAAUUCAAAACAGUUUCCAAAACUGUAAUUUUAAAAAUAGUUUAGCAAAUAAGUUUUUAAUUUUCAGUUUUGAUCUUCAAGUACAUGUAUCAUCAUUCUAACAAAUAUCACUUCACAUAAAGUAGAGAAAUCACUCCUUGAAGUUAAUAAUCAAUUUUUUUUUAGGGAAAUAAUCUAAUUGUUUUAAUAAACACUUUUCAAUGGACAUAUCCAUCAGAAACUUUUUAAUAUUUGAAUUUUAAACUCUCAAGGGCUAGCACAUCAGAAUUCAGAACAAUGAUCCGAGUAAUUCUUCUAUCGAAAGUAUUAAUAUUUAUGAGUGAAAUGGUUAGUCUGAAAUGAUUUUUAAGUGAUUUUUUCGUUAAAAACAUGUUUUGAGUAGCUUUUCCUCGAUGCCCACACAUCUCUCAGAAUGGAAGUGUUUGCGAUGUAUUUGCUCUAUUUUUGUUAGGGUUUGUUGGCUUCUAAAACCUUUAUAUUUAUUGUAGUAUUACAUGUCAAAAUUUCUAAAACUUUAAUUUGGUCCAAUUUUUAUGUUGGUUUUGAAAUUGUCAUUCCUUCUAUCUUCUUUGAAUGUACAAUUCUUAUUACAAAGGGUUGGUCAAAGGGAAGAGGAUGCGAAAAAUUUGGUAAAUGCUUUAGCAAAAUGUGUUAACAUAUGUUACAUUUUUUUUUUUUAGAGAAAUUAACAUAUGUUACAUGUUACACUCGUUGAGGAAAAUCUCGUUUUUAAUGUGCCCCUGUUUUAAAAUGGAAAUAAUGAACUAUACAUUUUAAAUCGGUUUUGAACUGGUGUAAUUUGUAUAAUUUUUUCAAAAGAAAAAUAAUUGAACAAACAAUUCAUAUCACUCUAGCGGAAACUGAUGUGAACCGUAAAAGUUAGUUUUCAGAAAAAACAUACAAAUUUGUCCAAAAACUAUUUUUUCUCGCUAAUUUAUUUCAUACCACUAUUAAGAUCAACUUAAAAGGUCAUAUAUUAUUCUCUUGUCCAACUAUUUAGUCCACCAGGUUAACUCUUUCCUUAAGGCGACCAUUAGUUGACUCCAAACUGUGAAAAUAUAUUUGUUUAGUCUCUAAACUAUCAUAAAAGACAACUAGUAAUUAGACUCUAAAUGUUCAUUUUUUAUAUUAAAUACCACUUUUCUUCUCUAACUACUCAUUUUCAAAUUGCAAAACAUAUCUUGCUUCAAUCGUGGCUGGAGGAUCAUUCACUAAGAAAGUUUUGCAAUUUAUGGGCUCAAGCUUAAACUCGAUGAGAAAUUAAGUGUUAAUGUUACGAGAGAAAUUCUAACAUGUUCACAAGACCCGACAAAAAGUAUUUGGUCACACACACAUAAACAAGUAUUUUUUUUUAAUGAUAGAAAGAAAAUUGAUAAAAAAAUAAUUAAAUAUUUUGAAGAUAUCUCUUUAUGUGAGUGUGUCUAAGGCUUUGUUUGGGAGUUUGGAGGGGAGGGGAGGGUUUUGGAAAAAAGGAAGGAGCAUUUAAGAAAUAGAAGACAUUGGGAGGAGAGGGCUUUGGAGGUUAAUUUUUUACUCAUAAUAAAAAAUCUCCCUCAUUUGGGGGAACUCAAAAAUUGUAUUAGGGGAGGGUUUUGGGGGGUUAUGGAGGGUUUAUAUGAAUUUUUCAAAUCCAAUCUAUCUUGUUAUAAUAUUCUUAAAAUUAAAAGUAUAUUAAUCAUAAGUAUUAAUUUAUCAUUCUCUAAAAAAUUGUUCUUUCAAAAAAUGUGAAUUUUUUGUCCAUUUUUCUAUAUGUUUCCAACCCCCCAAAGUCCUCCCCUCCCUUCCCCUCCAAACUCCCAAACAAAGCCUAAAAGUUAUUUAUUUGGUCUUGUUACCAUGGAAGAAUAGCUCAUGUUAAGAAACAUACUUUCUUGGAGAAGCUGAACUUUCUUAAAGAAGGUCAACAUUGGUACAACAACUUGCUAUUUCAAUGGUGCAAUAACCUCCAAAUGUAUACCAUAUUCCUCCUUCAUCAAGUAAUAAGCCUCGCUAUAGCUAAAAUAUGGUUGUUUUCUCAGCCUUAAUUCUAGCUUCUCAAUAUGCCACUUUUUAACGGAAAAUUAGUGUUUAAAUAACCCUUUUUAACACCAGUUAUAUAGGAAAACAUGAAUGAAACGUCCCCUUUUACUCCUAUUAUAGAGACAAAUUAGUGUAAAAUCAUCAAAUUUAGGGUUAAAAACACCUUUAACACCACUUAUGUAAGAACACCAGCGUAAUAUAUAUUUAUCACUGAUUCCAAAACCGAGGUGAAAUGCCCAAAAAAUGCAUUUCCACCCCCUCUAGUGGUGCAUUUAUUCAGAGCAUAUUUGUGGUUAUUAAAGAAUUCGUCUCUCCCUAAGUACAAGUUUUUUUUUUGUCAGAACCUAAAUAUAAUAAAUUUCUUUGUCCCAUUUUCAUAAAUAAUUUAAAACAAAAUUAACUGUUGUUUCUUUUAAAAAAUAUUUUUUAAUUGUAUUAAUAUUAGUGACAUUAAUAAUAAUUUUACAGUUCUCUCGUAAGAGACAUGCACUCAAAAUUACAAAGUUAAAUUUUUACCAUUGAGUUGGCACUCAUGGACACCAUGAUGGAAACGUUAACUAAUUGAUAUGAAGGGUAAAAUUGUAAAAAAAUAGGCUUAAAUGCUCUUUUGGUCCCUUAACUAAUUAAUUGGUAUCGCUUUGGUCCCUUAACUAAAAAAAAAGAUUGUUUGAGGAUUUUAAGUUUUUUUUAGUCUCGUUUUGGUCCCUUCUGUUAGUUUUAAUAAAAAAUGUUAAAUAUGGACAUGUGUCACCUUGUCAUUGGCUCUGAGAUUUUUUUUUUACAAAAAAAAAUAUAUUUUAAAAAAAAAUAUUUUUUUUGUAAAAAAAAAAAAAACUCUGAUCCAAUGACAGGGUGACUCGUGUCCAGGAGCUAACUUUUUUUAAAACCCGAACGGAAACCUAACAGAAGGGACCAAAACGAGACUAAAAAAAAACUUAAAAUCCUCAAACAAUCUUUUUUUUAGUUAAGGGACCAAAGCGAUAUCAAUUAAAUAGUUAAGGGACCAAAAGAGCAUUUAAGCCUAAAAAAUAAUAUCAAUUGUUAAUAAAUUUAAUCCUAUUAUCAAUUUUUUUAUUUCUCAUGAUUUAAUUUACGAGUCUUAUAUUUAAAGACAAAAGGGAGGAUGUUUUAAAAUUUGCUAGUUUUGAUUUGAUUUGAUUUUUUGUAUGUAGACGAUUUGACAAACACAACCUAAAAACACAUAACUACGAGAUGUCGGGUUCGAACCCAAGUGAAUGUGUUUAACCUAGUAAUAUUGACAUUUUCAGUUGAGCUAGGUCUUAUGAACGACAUUUUUUAUUUAUUUCUAUUUAAUAUUAGUUGUGAUCAAAAUUAUAUCUUGCUUUGGAUGGUUGCUGCAUUUUGUGGUUUAAUUGGGAUUUAUUUAAAAAAAAUAAAAUCUGUCUUAAUGGUUUAAGCCGUACAGCUUAAUUAGUUUUGCACACAGAUUGAAUGAUCCCUUUACUCCCUUCAUCAAUGCAUUCUUAAUUAGAAAAAAGAUAUUAGUCAGAGUGUUUUUCAUGUUUUUUAGAAUAUAAAAAUAAUGCUUAAUUAGUUGCAUAAUAAUAUGUAGCAUAUUUUUUUAUAAUGUCUGCUUAUUUUCAUAUUAGUCACGGACUCAUUGCAGCGUUUACAUGUCUGUUUGCUUUUCCCAUCAGUAUUAUAUUUUUUUUUCCAGAUAUUUGUUUUUUCUCAUGUCGGGCAUUGAACGUAAAUUAGACAGACCAAAAACCCAAAAAGCAAUGCAAAAAUAUACUAAUAAGUAAUUUCUCAAUGAAUAAAAAAUAACACUAGUUAUUCAUCUUCUUUAAUUUCCCUAGCAAAUUGCAUCGGGAAUAUUAAUACAUUUAUCAUUACAAUCUGACCAAAUAAAACAAAUAGUACUGAAUCCAAGGAAUAAUAACGAGAGGUUAAUUAUCCAUGCAAGUAUACAAUGAAGAAAUCUUGAUCAAAUGGAUAAUUGAGAAAAGCAACGAAAAUUAAAACAAUAAGAAGCAAACUAUAGUAGAUACGUUGAUAUGAUCACCGUGCAUGAUGAUGAAUUAAUUAGUAGCAUUGGAAAUCACGUGGUGCUUGCUUUGAGCAAACAUUGAGAAGCAAGCUAAGUGAGAUAGGAAGGUUGAGAUUGAUCCCCAAAAUGUUAGCUUUAAGGGCAGUGCAAAGACACACAGCAGCUUCAAGAUCAACAAGGCCAUUUAGGAGGGUGCAGCAUGGUGUCACUGGUGGCUGACCCAGAGUAACAUUCAACAAUCCAUUUAGUACAUUGGC
Molecule: long non-coding RNA, 13916 nt
Filed under: Medicago truncatula (barrel medic)
Lineage: Eukaryota; Viridiplantae; Streptophyta; Magnoliopsida; Fabales; Fabaceae
Description: long non-coding RNA (MTRU_LNC002325)
Source: RNAcentral